GGUAUUUUGACCGUGCAAAGGUAGCAUAAUCAUUAGUUUUUUAAUUGAAAGCUGGAAUGAAAGGUUGGAUGAGAAAUAAGCUGUCUCUAUUUAAUUUUAUUAGAAUUUUAUUUUUAAGUAAAAAAGCUUAAAUUUUAAUAGAAGACGAGAAGACCCUAUAGAGUUUUAUUUAUUUUUUAAAUAAAAUUAAUAGUAUUAAUUAUUUUUAUUUAAUGGAUAAAUUUGGUUGGGGUGAUUGAAAAAUUUAAUAAACUUUUUUUAUAUGUAUACAUUGAUAUAUGAUUAAUUGAUCCUUAGUUUAAGAUUAAAAGAUAAAAUUACCUUAGGGAUAACAGCGUAAUUUUUUUUGAGAGUUCUAAUCGAAAGAAAAGAUUGCGACCUCGAUGUUGGAUUAAAAUAAAAUUUUGGUGUAGAAGCUAAAA
This 422-nucleotide ribosomal RNA is filed under the name Laparocerus combrecitensis. RNAcentral's name for it is "partial 16S ribosomal RNA". Lineage: Eukaryota; Metazoa; Arthropoda; Insecta; Coleoptera; Curculionidae. The record is from RNAcentral. RNAcentral also lists the same sequence under 1 other name.